Molecule: non-coding RNA, 272 nt
Filed under: Serpula lacrymans var. lacrymans S7.3
Lineage: Eukaryota; Fungi; Basidiomycota; Agaricomycetes; Boletales; Serpulaceae
Description: Bacterial large subunit ribosomal RNA
Rfam family: Bacterial large subunit ribosomal RNA
Source: Rfam by way of RNAcentral
AUAUUUUUUUAUAAUAUAAGAACACUAAAAUAUCAACUUUUAUUUUUUUAUAAGGUAUAGCUAGAAAUUGAAUGGAGAUCAAUUAACCAGUGAAAGGUUAUGCAGGGCGCAAUGGCGGUAAGCAUGCUUAACUGAAAGACUUAAAAGUCGCACAGAUACGUAAGUAGGGCAUAGUGACCCCUCGCUAUAUAAUGGAAUAGACGGGGAUCAAUUGAUAAAAGUUACGCUAGGGAUAACAGGCUGAUAGCCGGCGAGAGUACACAUUGUCCCGG